Molecule: ribosomal RNA, 518 nt
Filed under: uncultured bacterium
Lineage: Bacteria
Description: partial 16S ribosomal RNA
Rfam family: Bacterial small subunit ribosomal RNA
Source: RNAcentral
UGGGGAAUUUUGGACAAUGGGCGAAAGCCUGAUCCAGCAAUGCCGCGUGUGUGAAGAAGGCCUUCGGGUUGUAAAGCACUUUUGUCCGGAAAGAAAUCCUUGGCUCUAAUACAGUCGGGGGAUGACGGUACCGGAAGAAUAAGCACCGGCUAACUACGUGCCAGCAGCCGCGGUAAUACGUAGGGUGCAAGCGUUAAUCGGAAUUACUGGGCGUAAAGCGUGCGCAGGCGGUUUUGUAAGACAGAGGUGAAAUCCCCGGGCUCAACCUGGGAACUGCCUUUGUGACUGCAAGGCUUGAGUGCGGCAGAGGGGGAUGGAAUUCCGCGUGUAGCAGUGAAAUGCGUAGAUAUGCGGAGGAACACCGAUGGCGAAGGCAAUCCCCUGGGCCUGCACUGACGCUCAUGCACGAAAGCGUGGGGAGCAAACAGGAUUAGAUACCCUGGUAGUCCACGCCCUAAACGAUGUCAACUAGUUGUUGGGGAUUCAUUUCCUUAGUAACGUAGCUAACGCGUGAAGUU